Molecule: ribosomal RNA, 454 nt
Filed under: uncultured bacterium
Lineage: Bacteria
Description: partial 16S ribosomal RNA
Rfam family: Bacterial small subunit ribosomal RNA
Source: RNAcentral
GAUGAACGCUGACAGAAUGCUUAACACAUGCAAGUCAACUUGAACUUCGGUUUGGGUGGCGGACGGGUGAGUAACGCGUAAAGAACUUGCCUCACAGAUAGGGACAACAUUUGGAAACGAAUGCUAAUACCUGAUAUUAUGAUUAUAUGGCAUCGUAUAAUUAUGAAAGCUAUAUGCGCUGUGAGAGAGCUUUGCGUCCCAUUAGCUAGUUGGAGAGGUAACGGCUCACCAAGGCGAUGAUGGGUAGCCGGCCUGAGAGGGUGAUCGGCCACAAGGGGACUGAGACACGGCCCUUACUCCUACGGGAGGCAGCAGUGGGGAAUAUGGGACAAUGGACCAAGAGUCUGAUCCAGCAAUUCUGUGUGCACGAUGAAGUUUUUCGGAAUGUAAAGUGCUUUCAGUUGGGAAGAAAAAAAUGACGGUACCAACAGAGGAAGUGACGGCUAAAUACGUG